Molecule: ribosomal RNA, 459 nt
Filed under: uncultured bacterium
Lineage: Bacteria
Description: partial 16S ribosomal RNA
Rfam family: Bacterial small subunit ribosomal RNA
Source: RNAcentral
CCUACGGGCGGCUGCAGUGAGGAAUAUUGGUCAAUGGCCGCAGGGCUUAACCAGCCAAGUCGCGUGAGGGAUGACGGUCCUAUGGAUUGUAAACCUCUUUUGUCAGGGAGCAAAGGGCGCCACGUGUGGCUUUUUGCGAGUACCUGAAGAAAAAGCAUCGGCUAACUCCGUGCCAGCAGCCGCGGUAAUACGGAGGAUGCGAGCGUUAUCCGGAUUUAUUGGGUUUAAAGGGUGCGAAGGCGGAAUGUCAAGUCAGCGGUAAAAUUUCGGGGCUCAACCCCGUCGUGCCGUUGAAACUGGCGUUCUUGAGUGAGCGAGAAGUAUGCGGAAUGCGUGGUGUAGCGGUGAAAUGCAUAGAUAUCACGCAGAACUCCGAUUGCGAAGGCAGCAUACCGGCGCUCAACUGACGCUCAUGCACGAAAGCGUGGGUAUCGAACAGGAUUAGAUACCCUUGUAGUC